Sander lucioperca (pikeperch) is the source of this 289-nucleotide long non-coding RNA. RefSeq lists it as uncharacterized. The transcript has 3 exons. NCBI's taxonomy places the organism in Eukaryota, Metazoa, Chordata, Actinopteri, Perciformes, Percidae. The record is from RefSeq and is a predicted model, not a curated record.
AACUCUCCAUCAUUUUAGAACAGGAAAUGUAAAAAUAUCAGUAUCAGGGUGUUGCAACAGAGUGGUGUAGGAGUUUUGAAAGUCCUAGAAGAACUGAAGAACUGGCAUAGCAUUACUCAUUGGUGGUUUUUUAUAGUAAUAAAAGCAACCCGAGUUAAAACUCAACAUCAUAUGACUUCUAAAUGUGUAGAACAUACACUGUGUGUAUUAACCACAUUUUUAGAGGAAGUAUAGAAGGUUUUACCCUGUCUGUGAGUAUUCCCUGCCCCCUUAUUACACUAACCUUACA